CCUGCGCUUAAUUGCGCGGCCAAUUCUUGAUUCUCUGCUAUCAGUUUUCUAUUUCUCAUCCUAAACACAAUGGAGUUUUUUCUCUAUGAACUACUUCCCUGGAGAGCUCGUCUCUCCAGUGGACAUAAACACAAACAAUAUUUUGUAUUAUGAAAAACUAUUAUACUAUAAAAUUUAAUAUUCAAAACUUUCAACAACGGAUCUCUUGGUUCUCGCAUCGAUGAAGAACGCAGCGAAUUGCGAUAUGUAUUGUGAAUUGCAGAUUUUCGUGAAUCAUCAAAUCUUUGAACGCACAUUGCGCCCUCUGGUAUUCCAGGGGGCAUGCCUGUUUGAGCGUCAUUUCUCUCUCAAACCUUUGGGUUUGGUAGUGAGUGAUACUCGUCUCGGGUUAACUUGAAAGUGGCUAGCCGUUGCCAUCUGCGUGAGCAGGGCUGCGUGUCAAGUCUAUGGACUCGACUCUUGCACAUCUACGUCUUAGGUUUGCGCCAAUUCGUGGUAAGCUUGGGUCAUAGAGACUCAUAGGUGUUAUAAAGACCCGCUGGUGUUUGUCUCCUUGAGGCAUACGGCUUUAACCAAAACUCUCAAAGUUUGACCUCAAAUCAGGUAGGGGUACCCGCUGAACUUAAGCAUAUCA
Molecule: ribosomal RNA, 634 nt
Filed under: Kluyveromyces marxianus
Lineage: Eukaryota; Fungi; Ascomycota; Saccharomycetes; Saccharomycetales; Saccharomycetaceae
Description: eukaryotic LSU rRNA
Rfam family: 5.8S ribosomal RNA (bases 186-339)
Source: RNAcentral